RNAcentral lists this ribosomal RNA (468 nucleotides) under Solobacterium sp. oral taxon A05. RNAcentral's name for it is "bacterial SSU rRNA". It matches the Rfam family "Bacterial small subunit ribosomal RNA", at positions 28 to 489 of the family's 1533-position model. The record is from RNAcentral. Lineage: Bacteria; Bacillati; Bacillota; Erysipelotrichia; Erysipelotrichales; Erysipelotrichaceae.
GAUGAACGCUGGCGGCGUGCCUAAUACAUGCAAGUCGAACGCUGGAAAUCUAGCUUGCUAGAUUGAAGGAGUGGCGAACGGGUGAGUAAUACAUAAGCAACCUACCCACGAAGACUGGGAUAAUCUCUGGAAACGGGGACUAAUACCGGAUAGGUAAUCGGAAGGCAUCUUCUGAUUAUUAAAGGUUAAAAACACUGGUGGAUGGGCUUAUGGCGCAUUAGUUAGUUGGUGAGGUAACGGCCCACCAAGACGAUGAUGCGUAGCCGGCCUGAGAGGGUGAACGGCCACAUUGGGACUGAGACACGGCCCAGACUCCUACGGGAGGCAGCAGUAGGGAAUUUUCGGCAAUGGGGGAAACCCUGACCGAGCAACGCCGCGUGAGUGAUGACGGCCUUCGGGUUGUAAAGCUCUGUUGUAAGGGAAGAACGGUAGAUAGAGAAUAUCUAAGUGACGGUACCUUACCAGAAA